ACGAGAGUUUGUAACACCCGAAGUCGGUGGGGUAACCUUUUGGAGCCAGCCGCCUAAGGUGGGACAGAUGAUUGGGGUGAAGUCGUAACAAGGUAGCCGUAUCGGAAGGUGCGGCUGGAUCACCUCCUUUUCU
Molecule: ribosomal RNA, 133 nt
Filed under: Bacillus paranthracis
Lineage: Bacteria; Bacillati; Bacillota; Bacilli; Caryophanales; Bacillaceae
Description: partial 16S ribosomal RNA
Rfam family: Bacterial small subunit ribosomal RNA
Source: RNAcentral